CAGCAGCCACGGUAAUACGGAGGGUGCAAGCGUUAUCCGGAUUUAUUGGGUUUAAAGGGUCCGUAGGCGGACUUAUAAGUCAGUGGUGAAAGCCUGUCGCUUAACGAUAGAACUGCCAUUGAUACUGUAAGUCUUGAGUAUAUUUGAGGUAGCUGGAAUAAGUAGUGUAGCGGUGAAAUGCAUAGAUAUUACUUAGAACACCAAUUGCGAAGGCAGGUUACCAAGAUAUAACUGACGCUGAGGGACGAAAGCGUGGGUAGCGAACAGGAUUAGAUACCCCUGUAGUCCCUGUCUCUUAUAA
RNAcentral lists this ribosomal RNA (301 nucleotides) under uncultured bacterium. RNAcentral's name for it is "partial 16S ribosomal RNA". It matches the Rfam family "Bacterial small subunit ribosomal RNA", at positions 509 to 809 of the family's 1533-position model. The record is from RNAcentral.